AUUGAACGCUGGCGGCAGGCCUAACACAUGCAAGUCAAGCGGAUGAGAGGAGCUUGCUCCUCGAUUCAGCGGCGGACGGGUGAGUAAUGCCUAGGAAUCUGCCUAGUAGUGGGGGACAACGUUUCGAAAGGAACGCUAAUACCACAUACGUCCUACGGGAGAAAGUGGGGGAUCUUCGGACCUCACGCCAUUAGAUGAGCCUAGGUCGGAUUAGCUAGUUGGUAGGGUAACGGCCUACCAAGGCGACGAUCCGUAACUGGUCUGAGAGGAUGAUCAGUCACACUGGAACUGAGACACGGUCCAGACUCCUACGGGAGGCAGCAGUGGGGAAUAUUGGACAAGGGGCGAAAGCCUGAUCCAGCCAUGCCGCGUGUGUGAAGAAGGCCCUCGGGUCGUAAAGCACUUUAAGUUGGGAGGAAGGGCUUACAGCGAAUACCUGUGAGUUUUGACGUUACCGACAGAAUAAGCACCGGCUAACUUCGUGCCAGCCGCCGCGGUAA
This 500-nucleotide ribosomal RNA is filed under the name uncultured bacterium. RNAcentral describes it as "partial 16S ribosomal RNA". It matches the Rfam family "Bacterial small subunit ribosomal RNA", at positions 30 to 523 of the family's 1533-position model. The record is from RNAcentral.